Balaenoptera ricei (Rice's whale) is the source of this 951-nucleotide long non-coding RNA. RefSeq lists it as uncharacterized. The transcript has 3 exons. The record is from RefSeq and is a predicted model, not a curated record. NCBI's taxonomy places the organism in Eukaryota, Metazoa, Chordata, Mammalia, Artiodactyla, Balaenopteridae.
AGAUGCACAGCCUAGCCGAUCCCUGGAUUGUAAAAAAGAACAAUACUACAAAGGAAGACAACCCCAAAUGAGGCUCUGCAGUCCUCAUACCCAGCAGCAGCCAAGAAAGGCUUGGUUCUUUGUCUGGAACAGAUGCUCACCCCACACCCCCAAAAAACUGCUUGGUCCAAAAGAUGGAGAAGAUGAGCAACAGAGUGACACUGAGGAUGACAGCCAGCAGACCCUAGACCUCUGUCACUGCCUCGUGACAGGGAAGAGGAAGUGAAGACAUGCAGGAGGAGGAUGGAACAGCUCUGGCUGAAGCUCGGAUAGUUUGCCAAAGAUCCUCACCAAUGAAUGCCUCCUUCUGUGGACGAUUCGUCCUUUCUACGAGCAGUCAUUGAGUUAAUGAGAGCUCGCCACAUGCCAGGCGCUGUGCUAGGCACUGGGUAAAUAAUGGGGAACAAAAUAGACAUGGUCUUUGACCUCAUGACAUUUAGAGUCUAGUGAGGGAAAGAGACAUUUAAUGAGUGAUGGGCAAUAAAUACACAAUUUUAAUUAAUACUAUAAAGGACGCAAAGGAAAAUGGGCUCAGGGGACUUGUUGCUUCAGGUGAGAUCACCAGGGAAGCUUUCUCCAGAGAGGUGAUAUGAAAGCCAAGACCAGAGGAUGAGAAGAAUCCAGCCCUGCAGGGUGGAAAAAGAGCAUUCGAGCUCAAGGGAACAGCAUGUGCCAAAGCCUUAGGACUUCCAUUCUCUGAAGUUCCACGGCCAAAGCUGUAAAGGGAUGCUCAAGAGGAGGGAUGAUCACUGUUGAAUCAGCACCUGGGCCCUUAUCUGCCGUGGUCACCUCAGGCCUUGUCUGUGGUUUCAGAGUCUGUCUCCAGGAGGGACUCUGGCCACUUAUCCACCAACGACUCACUCUCAAGCCAGGACAUCCCAAUACCACCCCAAAGACAUCGCCUCAGUCUGU